UGCAUUUCUUCCUUUAUUUCAAAUUCUAUUUUUAUUUUUCUAACUCCUAUUGUUAUUUAUUUUUCUGCUAUAUUUUUAGUGUUUAUUAAGCUUCUUGGUAUAUCUGGGCAUAUAUUAUUGUCAGAUUUUAUUUCCUUAUUUUUUACUAGAUAUCUUGCUAUAUAAUUUUCUUCUUGUCCUGUAUUUAAGAGUAUUAAAUAUUCUUUUUCAUUUAUUGUUCCUGUUAUGUAAUAUUGGUUUAAAUUAGUUGUUGAACUUGUUUCAUAACUUGUUCUU
This 276-nucleotide long non-coding RNA is filed under the name Capsicum annuum. Its description in RNAcentral is "long non-coding RNA (CANN_LNC019365)". Lineage: Eukaryota; Viridiplantae; Streptophyta; Magnoliopsida; Solanales; Solanaceae. The record is from RNAcentral.